This 69-nucleotide transfer RNA is filed under the name Nerita japonica. Its description in RNAcentral is "tRNA-Gln". The record is from RNAcentral. Lineage: Eukaryota; Metazoa; Mollusca; Gastropoda; Cycloneritida; Neritidae.
UGUGAGGGGGUGUGCUUGGCACGAAGAAUUUUGAUUUCUUAAGAAAAAGAUCACCUCUUUUCCUUACAG